UACGUAGGGGGCAAGCGUUGUCCGGAUUUAUUGGGCGUAAAGAGCUCGUAGGCGGUCUGUCACGUCGGCUGUGAAAACCCGAGGCUCAACCUCGGGCCUGCAGUCGAUACGGGCAGACUAGAGUUCGGUAGGGGAGACUGGAAUUCCUGGUGGUAGCGGUGAAAUGCGCAGAUAUCAGGAGGAACACCGGUGGCGAAGGCGG
Molecule: ribosomal RNA, 202 nt
Filed under: uncultured bacterium
Lineage: Bacteria
Description: partial 16S ribosomal RNA
Rfam family: Bacterial small subunit ribosomal RNA
Source: RNAcentral